CCAGCAAAUCGCUUUUUUUCCAGAUAAGGGGUUGUGAACCCACCUGGGGAUGAGGCCUGGUCUUAUGGAAAGUGGACUUAGCUUCGCUGGGCUAGGCCGACAGCUGUGGCCCAGGGUGGUAUGUAAU
Rattus norvegicus (Norway rat) is the source of this 127-nucleotide non-coding RNA. Lineage: Eukaryota; Metazoa; Chordata; Mammalia; Rodentia; Muridae. The record is from Rfam.